Molecule: long non-coding RNA, 551 nt
Organism: Prionailurus viverrinus (fishing cat)
Lineage: Eukaryota; Metazoa; Chordata; Mammalia; Carnivora; Felidae
Exons: 3
Source: RefSeq, a predicted model, not a curated record
ACAAGACUGAGCCGGGAUGCCAGCCAGGACUUCUGCAGAACCCCGGUGAUGGGGUGCGGGCUUGUCACCUGCUGAGCCCUCCACCUCUCCAGUUCCUCACACGCCCCCUACAAAGCCCACAAACGGCCCUCUGCAGACAGGACAGCAGCACAGAGCCUGGGGGAACCCCACCCACGGAGGCAGCUGAUUUCGCACCCGAGACAGACAGCGAAGUGAAUGCAUAUUUCACACGAGUCAGAAAUGGAGUGGUCCUGGUGACCCCCCCAACUUUGCAGGUGACAGGGAAGGAAUUAUGCUGUCUCCUCCGCGUGCGCACCAGGAUCAGGAAGCUUCUGCUGCAGUGCUAAUGACACAGAGGCACAGCCACACGUCCCCGAGAUGUACGUAUGCCAUCGCCCCCCAUUUUACCUAUGGGAAACGGGCACAGAGAGGGAAAGCUGAGCCAGAAGGAGCUUCCUGGCGAGUACCCGUGUCUGGAAAGCUCGCCAAACAGAACCCAGCCCUCCGGAAGCCCGGUCAGUCGUGUUGCCGCCGCAUCCCAGGCAUGUAGG